This 168-nucleotide ribosomal RNA is filed under the name Opistognathus iyonis. Its description in RNAcentral is "partial 12S rRNA". The record is from RNAcentral. Lineage: Eukaryota; Metazoa; Chordata; Actinopteri; Opistognathidae.
CACCGCGGUUAUACGAGAGGCCCAAGUUGACAGACACUCGGCGUAAAGAGUGGUUAAUAACAACUUAAACUAAAGCCGAACGCUCUCAGAACUGUUAUACGUACUCGAGAGUAAGAAGCCCCACCACGAAAGUGGCUUUAUCUAAUUGACCCCACGAAAGCUGCGAAA